CCUACGAGAGUCUGCAGUGAGGCAUAUUGGUCAAUGGACGGGAGCCUGAACCAGCCAUGUCGCGUGAAGGAUGACUGCCCUAUGAGUUGUAAACUUCUUUUAUAAAAGAAUAAACUGAGACACGUGUGCCUUUCUGACUGUCCUUUAUGAAUAAGGAUCGGCUAACUCCGUGCCAGCAGCCGCGGUAAUACGGAGGAUCCGAGCGUUAUCCGGAUUUAUUGGGUUUAAAGGGUGCGUAGGUGGGUUGUUAAGUUAGUUGUGAAAUGUCGCGGCUUAACUGUGAAAUUGCAAGUAAUACUGGUAGUCUUGAGGACAGAUGAGGUAGGCGGAAUGUGUGGUGUAGCGGUGAAAUGCUUAGAGAUCAUGAAGAACACCGAUUGCGAAGGCAGCUUACCAAUCUGUCACUGACAUUGAUGCUCGAAAGCGUGGGGAUCAAACAGGAUUAGAUACCCUGGUAGUC
RNAcentral lists this ribosomal RNA (460 nucleotides) under uncultured bacterium. RNAcentral's name for it is "partial 16S ribosomal RNA". It matches the Rfam family "Bacterial small subunit ribosomal RNA", at positions 338 to 795 of the family's 1533-position model. The record is from RNAcentral.